RNAcentral lists this small nucleolar RNA (100 nucleotides) under Musa acuminata subsp. malaccensis (wild Malaysian banana). RNAcentral describes it as "Small nucleolar RNA Z278". It matches the Rfam family "Small nucleolar RNA Z278". From Rfam's summary of the family: snoZ278 is a C/D box small nucleolar RNA. Its methylation guide targets have not been reported. The record is from Rfam by way of RNAcentral. Lineage: Eukaryota; Viridiplantae; Streptophyta; Magnoliopsida; Zingiberales; Musaceae.
GCCCAUGAUGUUGCUCCGUUUUGUGGAUGUAGUUGGCUCCAAUUCCCUGUUUUGCAGGGAGAAUCUGUUUGGUGCUGUUACUCCAUAUCCCCGGAGUGGC